GGAUGCAGAAUAGAGCAGCAAGCGUGGGGUAACUUACCAAAGAGGAUUUGAUCGAGGCUUCUGUUGGGAACAUAUUCAUAAACUAGGAGGCUUUCCGGGCCUUCAAUGCUGCAACCAAGAAGGCGGACCAAGUUCUUGUGUUGGAUUCCAGUGAUCAAAUUUACCUCAUUGAAGAAGUCAUCCACCCACUGACGAGUGUUGAACACCAGUCUUUUUACUGCAACAACUCUUCCAUCAGGGAGGAUCCCCUUGUAUACAGAACCAGCUCCUCCUUGGCCUAAUUUCCUCGACUCAUCAAAGAAGUUCGUAGCCUUCUCAAGCGAUUCGUAAUUAAAAUUCAGAUUCGACUUCCUUACAAUUUCUGGAACGCCAAAGAGUUUCUUCUGGACUGAGAAUAGGCAAAGAAGAUGGAUGGCAUUAGAGAAUGUUUGAAGAGAGUUAAAACAGAAAUAUCCUCUUUAGUUUCACAUUUACCUUCUCUUUUCUUGGAUAAUUUUCUGUAUCCAACAUAAGCACCGACGAAAAGAAGUGAAGUUGCAGCAGCAACGGAUAAAGAAAUAGCAAUGAUGAUCCCAAGCUUCAACGAGUCUAUUAAAAAACACACAGAUCAUCCUUUGCUGACAAGAAAGCGGAAGCUAUAGCAAUUAAGAGGCAAAAAAUAACCUACUACAGACUACAGCUAUCCCAAUUCAGUUGAAAAAACAGAACCAGAAAACUAGAACAUCGUGCAGACUAACUUGCAAGAUCACUCGAUUCUUACCACCAUCUGUAGGGACAGUAUAAAACCUCUGGGUUGAAUAUCGCAUGAAACAUCCGGCAUUCAUAGCCCUCCCUUCCUCCCCAGGAGUGCAGUUCCUCGCCCUGAUCAUCGCAUUCGCCAAGCACUCUCUACACCCCUUCUCAUCGAGAGUGUUCCAGCACUGCGCCAGCGCAUAAACGCCAGCGACUCCUCCCCUCCUCGCCUCUCCAAAAACGGCGAACCCCAUGUUCUCCGGCGCAACCGCCGACACAUUCGUCAGCACCCGAUCGACCUUAGCGGCAAACUGCUGCCUCGCCUGCUGGUCGGCUAAAACGCUGGACUGAUUGGCGCACUUGACCAUGUCGUGCUGCGGAUCGACGGUCUCAUUAAAGAAAUUAUAGUAAUCGGACCUUAUGAAGCAACCGUCGAGAUACAACCGCCCCUUAGUAUCCAAGAUAGUGCAUCGAGAAAGUGAAGUCCUGCUCCGCGCGAAACAGAGGAUGCAAUCGUCGCGGCUCAGGUCGCCGUGGCACUGAGCCAGGGCGUAGAUUUCUGGCAACGGAGAGGUUAUGGAAUCAUUAGCCCAGCGAUCUUCAGCGACUUUCGCGAGAACUUUCAGCAUGACGUCGAGGAAGUUCGAGGGGGACGUGACGUUGGAUUUGAGGCAUAGAAUGCCCGCCUCCGAGAUUCGAGGAUCGCCGAGCGAGGGCGAAAACGAGGAGCUGAAGAGACCCAGGAAAACGCAAGCGAGGUUGAGGAUCGAAGGCCGCAUUUCACGGCUCCGACCUCAGUUCCGAAGCAAAAUCCGCCGGAGAACCGGAUUACCGCCUCGAUUUUUCUACCGGUUCGAGCUUCUCGCGGUAUCAAGCAGCGUUCAAAGGCCAUCUUGUCUUAAUGAAUGAUGACUGGACGGAAAUGAGAGUUGACAAUGGCCCGGCGCGGUUGACUUUGAUUUUAUUUUUUAUUUUUUUUGUGAAAAUUAGCGGAGAAAGAUGAGGAAUGACUGGACUGGAGUAGCUACUUCGCUUAAAAUUCUAACUAUUUAUUCCGAUUUGAAGACCGAUAAUUCGGAUGGGACCAGGCCCGACAACGUGUUGGAAACUAGGAAGUCUCUCCCGUGAGAUGAUGGACGUGGAGAGUCCGGAGACUGGGACACCCCGGUCGGGAGUUUGCUCCGUGGUGUCUCAAAUUCACGACUUUCUAAAAAGACUGAUACCAUCUUCGGUGAAGUUUUAAUUUCCUCCACAGCAUGUCUUGAUUUCGCAUUCGAAUAAAGUAGUUCGAGAACUGUUUGUAUCACUUUUGGGUAAGGAGUCUAAUCGAUACAGAAUGGAUGAGAAAAUGUGUGUGCAUCUAUGAUUUUUUUUGAGCCGGACUUUGAAAUGCUUCUUGCUUGUGAGACCAAAAAGGAAAGCUGAAGAGGUGGAGUAACUAGAUGUCGACAGGUUUGGUGUUUGAGUUACGACGUUCUCCCACUCAAGAUAAAAAGCCACUUAUGUAAUCCAUCGGCGCCAUCGUGCCCUACGCAUAUGUAUAGCGCGAUUUGCAUGCAUUCCUUAGGAUUGACCAAAUUGAAAGAAUAAGAUUUUUCUUUUCUUUUGUCGAGAUGCACAUGCAAACUCGAAAGAAUUGGUGUAAUGUGAAACAGUUAAUAUAUCAUAAUUACCUUCUAACUUAUUGAUUUAGCCUUUCAAAUGAAGAUGGGUCUAACUAAACUAGAUACGUUGAUAGGGCCAGACUUGAAAGCUUAUUCUUAACGACUUCCUUAGAUGAAGGUGUCAGGUUUUUGCCACACUCUCAACAAAUGGCACUUGAGUAUUCUCAACUCCCUCUCUAGGCAAAAGAAGGCAAGCCUUGUGAUGUAGCAGUGCUAAUUUUGAUGGUAACUUUUAUGGUUCGGUCCGGAGGGAUGAACAUGGACAAAGUGGAUAUUCAAGUCGAGACACAAAAGUGAAUAUUCAAGUCAAGACAUAAGUUGAGUUGGUACAGUACUCGAAUUAAGAGAAAGAGGGGACCUUGACUGCGAUUACUAGUGCAGGGGAUGACUUGACUAAGAAACGUGGCAAUUGAACCAGGAAUUUUGAAUAGAAAAAAGAACCAAGAAUGGAUUGCCCAUGCUGAAUUAUCACCGAAUCUCUCCCUUUAUUAUUUAUUUGUUGCUUUCUAACUUUCCAGACGAAGUAUUAGCGCACAUGAUGAGUAAUUUAUUGAAAGGAAAUGUCAGUGUUUUGAGAGCAUCUAAGCUAGUUUGAUGUAGAGAUGGUUUCUCCGCUAGUCCUUGGAGAAAGCACCAAUGUCGAAGUAAGUAUUCCCGCUAGCUCAAAAAUAAUUGCACUUCUUAAAAUUUAAGGAUGGCGAUCUUGUCUCAACCUUAUCCCUCCUAGAAAAUAGGGGUAGGCAAUCGUGUCAGUUCAAUCCAAAAGCCGAAAUGAAGAAAUCUCAUCUAUUCGAUUCCGGCCCUAUUGACAUGAGGACUAUGAUAGGUUCCCUAAUUAAAAAAAGGAAAAAAAGAAAAGAAAGGGAAGACCUUUGCCGGUUCCCAAACUAUUUUUUUUCCAUAACAUAAUAGUUAUAUUAUUAAAUAAGUUGAAAAAAAAAAAAGGUAGGUUCUCAGGUUUAGUUUUUGGCCAAUUCCUUGUUCCAAAAAUCAAGAAUGGACUCUAUUGGGUGGGUUUCAAUUUCUAGGAUAAUUACUAAAAAAAAUUUAAACCCAUUGUAUGGAUCUACCUUUUAAUUUGACCCAUUUAGUCCCAAACUUUUUUUUAUGAUUUGUUAUUGUAAUUCUUCCAAUUAAUUUUGAUUAAAAAUUGCUAUUAUAAAUGCCGAUUGUUCUAUGUGGUAAAGGCCAGCGCAUUGACACUAAUGUAAACAACUUUUUAUAUAUUUUUUGAAUUUAGAACUCACCCAUCUUGAAAUUGAUUUCUCUUAAUUGGGGGUGUUCAUUACUUUUUAGCAAGUAUUACGAUAAUUACUUUUCAGAUUUUUUUUUCCGCAUUGAAAUUAAAAUCUUGACUUUAAGCAUUUAUACAGUGGUGGGCACUCAAUUGCUUGUUGCCAUAGAGAGGUCAAAUCUUGAUCAACCAAGUCCUAUCCACCACAAGAAAUAAUUCUCAGCAUCGCAUAAUCCUAAUAUUGGAAUCCAAUAGCAUCUUUCUAUGACUAGCUUUUCUCACCGAUGUUCCUGGCUCCAUAACACUCUUCAAUCAAACUCGAGACACUGUCUCAACCAAGACCAAUUCUUAGCAUCGCCACUUUUCAACUUAGACGGCCUGGGCGCACCACUCGUGACCUUCAUUGCCCGUGGCUCUCUACAUAAAUAAUGGAUGGCGCAUGUUCUGUGCUAGUCAUAAGCGUCUGCGAUUUCUAAAUGAGGUCAGCUUUGGAAGAUCGACGGAUUUCAAUCACGUUCGAUUCGCUUUGUGACAAGGGGUCCAAGAAUCAAGCAAUCCUAAUUUCAUAGUUUCUAGGUGAAGAACUCUGUUGCGUUUGACCAUUUCCUAGCAAAUGCCGGAAUUCUGUGAGAAUCCGCUUAAAAAGUAGAGGAAUUUUGAAAAACUAAACCGGGUUCGACAAAUUAUCGAUAUUUUGACCGGAAUUCUCGUGUGCCAAUUGCUGAAUUGAUAAUGCAAGUUAUGAACGCUAAACUACCAUGUGUAAUGAGAAAAUUGCUAGCGGACCGAAGAGAUUACUGUCGCCGGAUACUAUACCGUGUUCUGUUAGGACUCGAUUGUUGCAGAACCCAAAGUGGCAGCAGCUCAAAAUGAGAGUUCUGCGAAAGCUUAUAUAGGGUCAGAAGCAGAGAGGUCUCAAUCUUACUGACCUCGUGGUUCCUGUGCAGCAAAACUUACCGUGGCUACUGCCACAGGGUCAAGCAUUUGUUGACGCAGCUCGGGGCGAGUUACAAAGUCGUCGAGCUGGACAAGGAAGGUGAGCGUCUCCUACCCUCUUGAACCGCCUGCAUAUAAUCUUGAUCUGAGUAUAUAAACCAUCUUGCUCUUGGCUAUUUGGAGGCUGAUUUUGUCGACAAAGCAAAGAAACCUUUUUUUUUUAAGCAUAUUUGCUGGUAUAGCAUUCUGUUCAUGCGUAAAAGCCAGUCAAGAAUCUCCCCCCCACAGCUGCUCGAUUAGCCCCCAAAGACUUGUAUCUUUUGAUUCUUUCAACCGUGAGUUUUGAACUGUAAUUUAUUGAUAUUUCUGCGACUCUGCAAAUGAUCGCUUUAUCUACAGGAUGAAGAACUCGUGUGGAACAUGAUCUUUUUAACACUACAUUGUUCAACCAUUUGAAUUUCCUUUUGAAGGUGACGGAGCUGUGGUUCAAUUGGCUUUGGCAGAUUGGACGGGGCUGAGAACAGUACCUAAUGUGUUCAUUAGGGGAAAUAAUAUCGGUGGCUGCAAUUGUAAAUUCUUAAUUGCGUGGCUAAUCAUAUGUCUCUCUUUUCUUUGUUGAUUUCAAGAGAAUCUCUGGUAGAGGUUAGAUGCAACGCAGGUGUUGUUUGAUGACUAAUCUUUUAAUGUCGGCUUUCCUUGCAACGCCAGAGGUCACUCAGAAACACCAAGCAGGUCAACUGGUACCUCUUCUUAGGAGCGCCGGAGCUGUGAAGACCUAAUAAAAACGGUGCUCAUAGUUCGAACCUUCGAUCGAAAGAGAGAGACACGUGUGAUGGAAGUGGAUAAACUGAGGUGUGACUUCCACUGCACAAGUAAAUGAAAGAAUUGUCUUUUGACUGCUCACACAAAUCUGGAGUGUGUAGUACAAACUUACCUUGUCAGUAGAGUUGCUAGCAUAUUAGUAGCAGCUGAAAAUCCUUAAUGCAAAAGUGGAAUGACUAUCAGAAAUUCUGGGACCGAGACUGUUUGUUUGCCGAAGUGACUAGGAACCAAUUUCACGGUGUCCGGCAAUAAAGUUUCACAAGACAUUGAUCUAGACUUCUUUAGAGAUCUGCAGUUUUAUGAUGCAGAAGAGUUAUCGUCGAGAUUAAGAUUAUUUCUUUGCUUCCGGUUCUGAUAAUUCGAGUUCAAUGCGAUGAUCCAAAAGCAAGCAGGAUCUCGUAGCAAAUAGUUCUAUAGGGAACAGUCACGAGCUUCUCCUCUCCCACUUUGCUGGAAAGCAACCUCUACGGUCCUGUCGAGGGGUGUGCAGAAAAUGAUGUGGCGCGUGCGAUCAUGAAAUAGCCCCUAAAUCCUCUUGAUCAGGGCGUGGCCAAAUCAGAAAGGGGUCUUCGCCGGGAGUUUUCCCUUCGUGGACCCAUUCCUGACUCUCGAGGUUCACCAACAAAUGCAUCCGCCAUAAUUAUAGGGGGAAGAGGUACGGUCAUACGUUCUCCGCAAAAAUCAAUGCUGUAAUAGUUCACUAUUUUGUCUACUUGGAUCUACUCAAAUAAUGAACUAAUCCUCCACUUUAGGACCAUCCGAAGCGGAUUGCAAAGAAUAAGUGACUGCAGAGUAACUUUCACACUGUUUCUUCAGCCUGGGGUCGUGCUGUGCAGUACUGGUAGACCGAUAAAAAUUGCUAGUCAAUUCACCGCAAAGGCCAGCUUCAAACCAAGAAAUAUAUAGGAAAAAGUUGAGAAGUUCAUCAAGCUGUCUAGAUGAUCAUUUCAAGAAUUCAUCCAUCCUCAUCAUGGCAAAAGAGACCAUCACUCUGAGAAAAACUGAAGUAGAAGUGCUAAUUAGAAAAUUUCCGACAAAAGAGGCAGAAUCUCAGGGUUUUGCUUUUCAUUUAUGAGAUUACAGGACAUGAAAGAAGCUAGCAUGAACUCCUACGCAAUUGUGAUUCUGUUUCCAUGAGUCACGGUACUUCCUGUGUAAAUUGAGUGGAAUUGGCAAUACUAAGAAAAAAUGGAGGAUAAAGGAAAUAAAUAAAAUAAGAAUAUGUACAUGAGUUCCUCCGACUCCAUUAAGUGGGAAACGGCCAGCAUAUGACAUGACCGAUGCACCAUGGAGCUUCUGCAAUCUCUUGCACAGCAGCCGCAUCUUCACCCUGUCUCGCUGCGCAGAUCUCCUCAUCCUGAUUUCGCAAUCGGGGUUCGAGAAACGCUCGAGCAUUACUGGCCAUUGGACUCCUUGCAAUCCUUCUCACAGGACCAUAUGCCCAUCUCAUAACGUGCGGCUGAAGAAUAAAUAGUGGUCCUCUUCAAAUGUCCGAAAAUUACAUCGCCUCCGCUGGCUCAGUUGAUACUGCCAAAACGGCUAUCUCACUGGAGGCUUAUGGUGGAACCGGAGGAAAUUUCAGAAUUUGUCAGUUGGUUUGUGAUCCCAGUAUUCGUGUUCGAGCUUCUGCUGGAGUCAUCUGGAAUUGGAUUAUUGUUGAGAAAUGGGGGUUGCAUUGGCAUGGGAACUAUGCACUCCUGAUCGUUGAGCAUCUCAACUACUUCAGACAUGGAUGGUCGUAAAUCUGGGGAAGCUUGGGUACAAAGAAGCGCGAUUUGAAUCACAUUCAAUGCCUCUGAGAUGGGAAACUUGCCUUUCAACGCAGGAUCGAUGCAUUCAGCAAGUCUAUUUGAUUUAUAUCGCUUCCAAACCUGAGAAGUACAGAAAAGUCGAAGCAAGUCAUUAGAAACUUUGCUAGUGUUCAGCAGAAAAGACAGACUACCUCCAGAUUGUGAAGGGAUGAAUUAAAUAAAGCCCUUGUGCAGCUGAAUCAUGAUAUGUAAAGCCACGAAGGGGUUCGUGAGGGUUACAAGAUUUCCAGUACAGAGAAAAGAGUAGCUGGAAAACUCUCAAUUUGAAGUUCGAGAAGAUGUUACUUGUAAGGAUUUAUUCCAACUCUAUAUCAUAGACAAGAAAUUUUUAAACACCGCAUGCAUAUUCUAGAGGUUGAAAUCAGGAGGAUAGGUAUAUGAAUCUUACUGAUUGUAGAACUGAACCUGAGGCCUGCCCAAAGAUACUGUUCUUCCUACCACUUAGAAUUUCUAGGACCAGCACGCCAAAAGCGUAAACAUCUGCUUUCUCUGUUAGUUGUCCCUUAACAAGAUACUCUGGAGCCAUAUAACCCCUGCAAAAUUAUUCUUUCAGAAGGAGAGAAAUCUGUUCUGCAGAAUCUGUAAUAGAAGAUGAAAUUGCCAAAGAGUGAAAAGAAGGGGUCAUCCCCACAAUAAGCCUUAUAUCAGAUGCUCAUCUUCUGAACUCAUAAUACAUGGCGGUUCAAAUAGCCAAUCCAGUCUUCUCUACAUGAAAAUGGCAUCUAAACUGGCUCAAUUGAAACAAAAGGAGAAAAAAAUAAAAGACCAGAAUCUUACAGUGUCCCUGCAAUACCAGUGCUGAGAUGAGAUUUUUCUGGAUCAAGACAUCGAGCAAGUCCAAAGUCAGCAAUCUUUGCUGUGAGAUCUUCGUCAAGAAGGACAUUGCUGCUUUUGAUGUCUCUGUGUAUUAUUUUCACUCCACAAGGUCCAUGGAGAAAUGCCAGCCCCUCAGCUGUUCCGGAGAUGAUAUUAACCCGCUCCUGCCAACUCAGGACAUGGGUCGCAUUCUUGACUGCAACGGCAACCAGGUCUUGUUAUCAGUUACAUUAUUGCAAUUGAGUACUUAUCAGGAAUGAGAUUAAAAAACUGCCUAGAAAAGACUAGCAAGAAAAACUACUAUUUUGGAACGAGAUGAAGCUAGCAACUAGAUUAACAUCAUAGAACAAAUUUGGAGAACCUAAAAACUAGAGGGUUUUGUUUUGGUAGAGGCCCAACUUAUGAAACCAACUCCACUAAUCUCGGAUGCAGAAUGGAGCAGCAAGUGGGGGGUAACUUACCAAAGAGGAUUUGAUCAAGGCUUCUGUUGGGAACAUAUUCAUAAACUAGGAGGCUUUCCGGGCCUUCAAUGCUGCAACCCAGAAGGCGGACCAGGUUCUUGUGUUGGAUUCCACUGAUCAAAUUUACCUCAUUGAAGAAGUCAUCCACCCACUGACGAGUGUUGAACACCAGUCUUUUUACUGCAACAACUCUUCCAUCAGGGAGGAUCCCCUCGUAUACAGAACCAG
This 8704-nucleotide long non-coding RNA is filed under the name Eucalyptus grandis. RNAcentral's name for it is "long non-coding RNA (EGRA_LNC000425)". Lineage: Eukaryota; Viridiplantae; Streptophyta; Magnoliopsida; Myrtales; Myrtaceae. The record is from RNAcentral.